CCACUGAUUAGAUGAAAAUCACACACACCUGGCACACACACUCACUGAGAAAAGUAGUUUCUCCACACAAUCGUUUGUUUGUUGUUUCACCUUUUUUUUAACUGGAAAAUCUGUCAUUUUAAUUUACUUUAACUGAAAGGGAAACAAGCACAAACUUGGAGAAACACAUCCUUUUCUUAAUGAGCAUUUUGGAGCCUAUUUUUAAUUAUUUUGAGCCACCUGUUGGAAUGAGUGGAACAAACAAUCAGAUGUUCACAGACAGCAGCUGAUUCUAAGGACAGACAGGCUGGACAUCCUGAAGCUACUUCCUACCUGCUUUUCCCGAAGACUGAAGCAUGACACAACAUGAAAGCUACACCCCCUCCUUUGCAUAAUGAAGCAGAGAGAUAAGCUACCAUCAUUAACUGCUGACUCCUCACCUUCCCUCACUCCGCAAGUCAUCAACAACUGCUUCAGUUUGGACCCUUUCAAUACGGAUUAGGAAUUGUUCUCCUCUUGAUUUUCAAG
This is a long non-coding RNA of Sebastes umbrosus (honeycomb rockfish), 507 nucleotides long. RefSeq lists it as uncharacterized. Lineage: Eukaryota; Metazoa; Chordata; Actinopteri; Perciformes; Sebastidae. The transcript has 3 exons. The record is from RefSeq and is a predicted model, not a curated record.